AAAUGCAAAUCGCAGAGUCUGGGACACACACAGAGAGAGAGAGAGAGAGAGAGAGAGAGAGAGAGAGAGAGAGGGUCGAGUGUUGGAGAGGAACCGAAUUCGAAAUCGGCCUCCGGGGCCUUCUUAAUUAAGUUGUACGCGGUGCAAUAGUGCACCAUCGGAGUCCGCCGAUGGCUUUCUUCUCCGACCAGUAUAGACUAGAUAGGAAGAAGCCAAGCGGGAGUAGACUGUUGGAAUACAUGAAGAAAGCUCCCGUUUCUUUCAAGGCCCACCAAGCCAUCGUCCUAAAUGCGACCUUCUUUGCCUAUGCAAGCUUCCAUGCCGCUCGUAAAACCACAAGCGUGGUGAAGAGCGCCCUCAAUCCCGAGUCUUCUUUCAGAAACGACCCUCAGCUUCAUUCCCUCCCCACCUCUGACCACAUUUCAGGAUCAGAAGCGGGUGAUGGCGGGAAGCGGCUGGGCCCCAUUCAAUGGCUCUGACGGAUGUUCACUGCUUGGCGAACUUGAUCUGGCUUUCCUUACGGCCUAUGCCUUUGGAAUGUACUUCUCGGGUCAUUUUGCUGACCGGAUGAGCUUAAGGAUAAUUUUAGCUGCGGGAAUGAUAGGAAGUGGUCUAUUUGCCUCGCUCUUUGGUGUUGCUUACUGGGCAAACAUCCACAACUUCUACUAUUUCUUGGCUGUUCAAAUGCUUGCUGGCUUGUUUCAAUCAACAGGCUGGCCUUCCGCCGUUGCAGUUGUCGGGAACUGGUUCGGGAAGAGAAAGAGGAAAACAAGAAUAUAUUUAAA
Non-coding RNA from Punica granatum (pomegranate), 785 nucleotides. NCBI's taxonomy places the organism in Eukaryota, Viridiplantae, Streptophyta, Magnoliopsida, Myrtales, Lythraceae. The record is from RefSeq and is a predicted model, not a curated record.